GGUCUUGACAUACUCUGCAAGCUAUAGCAAUAUAGUGGAGGUUAUCAGGGAUACAGGUGGUGCAUGGUUGUCGUCAGCUCGUGUCGUGAGAUGUUAGGUUAAGUCCUAAAACGAGCGCAACCCUUGUCAUUAGUUGCCAGCAUGUCAUGAU
This 151-nucleotide ribosomal RNA is filed under the name Indian arecanut yellow leaf disease phytoplasma. RNAcentral's name for it is "partial 16S ribosomal RNA". It matches the Rfam family "Bacterial small subunit ribosomal RNA", at positions 977 to 1132 of the family's 1533-position model. Lineage: Bacteria; Bacillati; Mycoplasmatota; Mollicutes; Acholeplasmatales; Acholeplasmataceae. The record is from RNAcentral.